UAACCUGCCCAAGAGAUCGGGAUAACACCUGGAAACAGAUGCUAAUACCGGAUAACAACAGAUGAUGCCUAUCAACUGUUUAAAAGAUGGUCCUGCUAUCACUCUUGGAUGGACCUGCGGUGCAUUAGCUAGUUGGUAGGGUAACGGCCUACCAAGGCGAUGAUGCAUAGCCGAGUUGAGAGACUGAUCGGCCACAUUGGGACUGAGACACGGCCCAAACUCCUACGGGAGGCAGCAGCC
RNAcentral lists this ribosomal RNA (240 nucleotides) under uncultured Lactobacillus sp. Its description in RNAcentral is "partial 16S ribosomal RNA". It matches the Rfam family "Bacterial small subunit ribosomal RNA", at positions 122 to 355 of the family's 1533-position model. Lineage: Bacteria; Bacillati; Bacillota; Bacilli; Lactobacillales; Lactobacillaceae. The record is from RNAcentral.